CCUUACCGAACAGGUUGGGUACCUUAGAUUGACUUCUGUUGACAAGAAGUACGACGUCGAGAAGUGUAUGUUUGCCUGUAAUCUUAGGGAUAUCCAGGAUGCGGGUAUUGCACCUUGUCCAGCCGCUUUGCUUUGUCUUUGUGAUUUUUACUGGGAUUAUGCUAACCUGUUUUGAUUUUAUAUUUUUUGCAGCUUCUGACUCCAAGAUGGACCAAAUCAAGCCUCCCAAGAACCUCAUAUUGUCCCGAGAGAGUAUGGAUGCGGCUUUGGACGUC
This 275-nucleotide long non-coding RNA is filed under the name Manihot esculenta (cassava). Its description in RNAcentral is "long non-coding RNA (MESC_LNC011679)". Lineage: Eukaryota; Viridiplantae; Streptophyta; Magnoliopsida; Malpighiales; Euphorbiaceae. The record is from RNAcentral.